This 400-nucleotide unclassified non-coding RNA is filed under the name uncultured fungus. RNAcentral's name for it is "partial contains small subunit ribosomal RNA, internal transcribed spacer 1, and 5.8S ribosomal RNA". The stretch from base 1 to 73 matches the Rfam family "Eukaryotic small subunit ribosomal RNA", at positions 1759 to 1831 of the family's 1831-position model. Lineage: Eukaryota; Fungi. The record is from RNAcentral.
CCAAACUUGGUCAUUUAGAGGAAGUAAAAGUCGUAACAAGGUCUCCGUAGGUGAACCUGCGGAGGGAUCAUUAGAAAUGCUUUGUUUCUUCUCUUGCCGUCGUUCGCUGUUCGCAGCGGCCGACGCAACGAGAAACAUCAUUUCCCGGCCGCUAGAAGGUGCUCGCUUGCGGGCGUCGACUGGCAGCUGGAACUUUCCGGGGGAAUGGACGCUUCGUGCGGCCGUCCCUUGGGAAUUAUCUAUACCUAUCUUUGUCUGAAUCUUUAUCCUACACCUCCGCUGUGCUUGCGGCCGAGGGCGCUUGCGCUCUUCGACGCGACACUUCCGGAUUCGUAGCCUGAUAAUUAAAACAACUUUCAACAAUGGAUCCCUCGAUUCUCCCAUCGAUGAAGAACGCAGC